GACGAACGCUGGCGGCGUGCUUAACACAUGCAAGUCGAACGGUAAGGCCCUUCGGGGUACACGAGUGGCGAACGGGUGAGUAACACGUGGGUGAUCUGCCCUGCACUUCGGGAUAAGCCUGGGAAACUGGGUCUUAUACCGGAUAGGACCACUGCCUGCAUGGGUGGUGGUGGAAAGCUUUUGCGUUGUGGGAUGGGCUCGCGGCCUAUCAGCUUGUUGGUGGGGUGAUGGCCUAGCAAGGCGAAGUCGGGUAGCCGGCCUGCGAGGGUGACCGGCCACAAUGGGACUGAGAUACGGCCCAGACUCCAACGGGGGGCAGCAGUGGGGAAUAUUGCACAAUGGGCGCAAGCCUGAUGCAGCGACGCCGCGUGAGGGAUGACGGCCUUCGGGUUGUAAACCUCUUUCAGCACCGACGAAGCGCAAGUGACGGUAGGUGCAGAAGAAGGACCGGCCAACUACGUGCCAGCCGCCGCGGUAA
Molecule: ribosomal RNA, 478 nt
Filed under: uncultured bacterium
Lineage: Bacteria
Description: partial 16S ribosomal RNA
Rfam family: Bacterial small subunit ribosomal RNA
Source: RNAcentral